RNAcentral lists this ribosomal RNA (471 nucleotides) under Triticum aestivum (bread wheat). RNAcentral's name for it is "partial small subunit ribosomal RNA". The record is from RNAcentral. Lineage: Eukaryota; Viridiplantae; Streptophyta; Magnoliopsida; Poales; Poaceae.
AUGAUUGUAGCUAACAACAUGAUUGUAGCUAACACCCUCUUUAGAAAGAGAGAAUCACAUCUGGUGACUUUUAGUAGUGGCCAACAUUCUAGCCAUAUUGAUUUCAUCCUCUCAAGAAGAGAAGAUAGGCGUGCGUGCCUAGACUGUAAGGUGAUACCUGGAGAGAGUAUUGUACCCCAGCAUAAGCUGGUGGUUGCUGACUUCCGCUUUCGGAUUCGUGUCAAGCGGGAUAAGCAUGCCAAAGUCGCUAGAACGAAGUGGUGGAAGCUCAAGGGGGAGGUAGCUCUAGCAUUCAAGGAGAGGGUCAUUAAGGAGGGCCCUUGGGAGGAAGGAGGAGAUGCGAACAAUGUGUGGACGAAGAUGGCGACUUGCAUUCGUAAGGUGGCCUCGGAGGAGCUUGGAGUGUCCAGGGGAAGGAGAAGCAAAGAUAAGGAUACCUGGUGGUGGAAUGAUGAUGUCCAGAAGGAUUAA